This 1158-nucleotide ribosomal RNA is filed under the name Gracilibacillus sp. Its description in RNAcentral is "bacterial SSU rRNA". It matches the Rfam family "Bacterial small subunit ribosomal RNA", at positions 300 to 1464 of the family's 1533-position model. Lineage: Bacteria; Bacillati; Bacillota; Bacilli; Caryophanales; Bacillaceae. The record is from RNAcentral.
AUGAUCGUCACCACUGGAACUGAGACACGCCCCAGACUCUACGGAGCAGCAGUAGGAUCCUCGGCAUUGACGGAAGUCUGACGAGCCACGCGCGUGACCGAGAAGUUUUCGAUCGUAAAGUCUGUGUUAGGGAAGACAAGUACCGUUCAAUAGGGCAGUACCUUGACGGUACCUAUCGAGGAAGCCCGGCUAACUACGUGCCAGCAGCCGCGGUAAUACGUAGGGGGCAAGCGUUGUCCGGGAAUUAUUGGGCGUAAAGCGCGCGUAGGCGGUUUCUUAAGUCUGAUGUGAAAUCUUGCGGCUCAACCGCAAGCGGUCAUUGGAAACUGGGGAACUUGAGUGCAGAAGAGGAGAGCGGAAUUCCACGUGUAGCGGUGAAUGCGUAGAUAUGUGGAGGAACACCAGUGGCGAAGGCGGCUCUCUGGUCUGUAACUGACGCUGAGGUGCGAAAGCGUGGGGAGCGAACAGGAUUAGAUACCCUGGUAGUCCACGCCGUAAACGAUGAGUGCUAGGUGUUAGGGGGUUUCCGCCCCUUAGUGCUGCAGUUAACGCAAUAAGCACUCCGCCUGGGGAGUACGGCCGCAAGGCUGAAACUCAAAAGAAUUGACGGGGGCCCGCACAAGCGGUGGAGCAUGUGGUUUAAUUCGAAGCAACGCGAAGAACCUUACCAGGUCUUGACAUCUUCGGAUGUCCCUAGAGAUAGGGAGUUCCCUUCGGGGACCGAAUGACAGGUGGUGCAUGGUUGUCGUCAGCUCGUGUCGUGAGAUGUUGGGUUAAGUCCCGCAACGAGCGCAACCCUUGAUCUUAGUUGCCAGCAUUAAGUUGGGCACUCUAAGGUGACUGCCGGUGACAAACCGGAGGAAGGUGGGGAUGACGUCAAAUCAUCAUGCCCCUUAUGACCUGGGCUACACACGUGCUACAAUGGAUGGAACAAAGGGCAGCGAAGCGGCAACGCAUUAGCAAAUCCCAUAAAUCCAUUCUCAGUUCGGAUUGCAGGCUGCAACUCGCCUGUAUGAAGCCGGAAUCGCUAGUAAUCGUGGAUCAGCAUGCCACGGUGAAUACGUUCCCGGGCCUUGUACACACCGCCCGUCACACCACGAGAGUUGGCAACACCCGAAGUCGGUGGGGUAACCUUGAGCCAGCCGCCGAACUACCGUU